UGACCUCGAUCAGUAGAGCCAGUCAUGGUU
This 30-nucleotide ribosomal RNA is filed under the name uncultured Chalara. RNAcentral describes it as "partial 28S ribosomal RNA". Lineage: Eukaryota; Fungi; Ascomycota; Leotiomycetes; Helotiales. The record is from RNAcentral.